AGUGAACGCUGGCGGCGUGCCUAAUACAUGCAAGUCGAACGGAGUGGCGCACGGGUGAGUAAUAUAUAGCUAAUCUGCCCCUUCCUGGAGGACAACAGUUAGAAAUGACUGCUAAUACUCCAUAGCAAGGGAUAAGACUUGAUCGUAUCAGCUAGUCGGUGGUGUAACGGCCUACUGAGGCUAUGACGCGUAACUGGUCUGCGAGGAUGAUCAGUCACCUUGGAACUGAGAAACGGUCCAAACUCCUACGUGAGGCAGCAGGAGGUAAUAUUGCGCAAUGGGGAAACGCUGACGAAGCAACGCCGCGUGGAGGAUGACACUUUUCGGAGAGUAAACUCCUUUUGUUAGGGAAGCGGUACCUAACGAAUAAGCACCGGCUAACUCCGUGCCAGCAGCCGCGGUAAUAC
This 407-nucleotide ribosomal RNA is filed under the name uncultured bacterium. RNAcentral's name for it is "partial 16S ribosomal RNA". It matches the Rfam family "Bacterial small subunit ribosomal RNA", at positions 29 to 526 of the family's 1533-position model. The record is from RNAcentral.